Molecule: long non-coding RNA, 227 nt
Filed under: Brassica napus (rape)
Lineage: Eukaryota; Viridiplantae; Streptophyta; Magnoliopsida; Brassicales; Brassicaceae
Description: long non-coding RNA (BNAP_LNC019983)
Source: RNAcentral
AACUUUAAGGUUUUCAGUUUACGUUUGUGGGGGUGUUGAUGACAAAAAAAAAUGUGGGUGCGAAAAUAAAUACCCCUGACCUUGUGGAUAAUUACGAGUUUUGUGAUUAUCGUUAGAAGCUUUGUUUUUCUGGUCGUUCUUGAUUGGCUAGUUAUCUCUACUCUCUUAAUAAAAAAAUCAAUUAAAAGGCUGUUUUGUGGAGAUUAUUACAUUAACUGCCUCUAUUC